UUGUAUUUGUGGGAUACAACUGGAUUUCACUCCCUUCUUCUUCAUCAGUCCUACUUCUCUCUCACUCUAGCAUCGUUCCUUCUGUCCUCACUUAUGUUCUUGCCAUUUUUGUUCCUUCUCUCCUCACUUACGUUCUUGCCAUUUUUGUUCCAUUGCUCUCUCUCUCUCUCUCUCUCUCUUUCUCUCUCUCCCCGUUUUGGGUUUGCUUUCUUUGGACCAUUUACAUUCAACUUCUCCACAUUGCAUUUACCUGUUGCAGGUGACAAAACAAUUGCCAAAAAAAUAAAAAAUAAAAAAGAGAUACAAGGAAGAAGCAGGCGAGGUUUCAUAUCUCAAAAA
Lycium ferocissimum is the source of this 339-nucleotide long non-coding RNA. RefSeq lists it as uncharacterized. Lineage: Eukaryota; Viridiplantae; Streptophyta; Magnoliopsida; Solanales; Solanaceae. The transcript has 2 exons. The record is from RefSeq and is a predicted model, not a curated record.